ACGAGUUUGAACAUGGGCUUUUGAUGCUGGCCUUCCGAGGCAUGUGCUCGGCCCUGCUCAUCCAUCUUACCCCUGUGCACCUAUUGUGGCAGGUGAAGCCUGAAAGGGUGAAGCCAGCUACGUUUUUUAUACACACACUUUGGUUUAGAAUGUAACUUUUGCGAUAAUUAACGCAUUUAAAUA
RNAcentral lists this unclassified non-coding RNA (183 nucleotides) under uncultured Basidiomycota. Its description in RNAcentral is "sequence contains ITS1". The record is from RNAcentral. Lineage: Eukaryota; Fungi; Basidiomycota.